RNAcentral lists this ribosomal RNA (480 nucleotides) under Theileria annulata. Its description in RNAcentral is "SSU rRNA". It matches the Rfam family "Eukaryotic small subunit ribosomal RNA", at positions 475 to 995 of the family's 1831-position model. Lineage: Eukaryota; Apicomplexa; Aconoidasida; Piroplasmida; Theileriidae. The record is from RNAcentral.
AAAUAACAAUACGGGGCUUAAAGUCUUGUAAUUGGAAUGAUGGGAAUUUAAACCUCUUCCAGAGUAUCAAUUGGAGGGCAAGUCUGGUGCCAGCAGCCGCGGUAAUUCCAGCUCCAAUAGCGUAUAUUAAAAUUGUUGCAGUUAAAAAGCUCGUAGUUGAAUUUCUGCUGCAUUGCUUGUGUCCCUCUGGGGUCUGUGCAUGUGGCUUUUUUCGGACGGAGUUUCUUUGUCUGAAUGUUUACUUUGAGAAAAUUAGAGUGCUCAAAGCAGGCUUUCGCCUUGAAUAGUUUAGCAUGGAAUAAUAAAGUAGGACUUUGGUUCUAUUUUGUUGGUUUUAGGUACCAAAGUAAUGGUUAAUAGGAACAGUUGGGGGCAUUCGUAUUUAACUGUCAGAGGUGAAAUUCUUAGAUUUGUUAAAGACGAACUACUGCGAAAGCAUUUGCCAAGGAUGUUUUCAUUAAUCAAGAACGAAAGUUAGGG